This 1343-nucleotide ribosomal RNA is filed under the name unidentified marine bacterioplankton. Its description in RNAcentral is "bacterial SSU rRNA". It matches the Rfam family "Bacterial small subunit ribosomal RNA". The record is from RNAcentral. RNAcentral also lists the same sequence under 1 other name.
UUAGAGUUUGAUCAUGGCUCAGGAUGAACGCUGGCGGCGUGCUUAACACAUGCAAGUCGAACGAACCUUCGGGUUAGUGGCGGACGGGUGAGUAACGCGUGGGAAUCUGCCCUCAGGAGGGGGAUAACGGCUGGAAACGGCCGCUAAUACCCCAUAUGCCGAGAGGUGAAAUGAAUUUCGCCUGAGGAUGAGCCCGCGUCUGAUUAGCUUGUUGGUGAGGUAAUGGCUCACCAAGGCUUCGAUCAGUAGCUGGUCUGAGAGGAUGAUCAGCCACACUGGGACUGAGACACGGCCCAGACUCCUACGGGAGGCAGCAGUGGGGAAUUUUCCGCAAUGGGCGAAAGCCUGACGGAGCAACGCCGCGUGAGGGAUGAAGGCCUCUGGGCUGUAAACCUCUUUUCUCAAGGAAGAAGAUCUGACGGUACUUGAGGAAUAAGCCACGGCUAAUUCCGUGCCAGCAGCCGCGGUAAUACGGGAGUGGCAAGCGUUAUCCGGAAUUAUUGGGCGUAAAGCGUCCGCAGGCGGCCCUUCAAGUCUGCUGUUAAAGCGUGGAGCUUAACUCCAUCAUGGCAGUGGAAACUGUUGGGCUUGAGUGUGGUAGGGGCAGAGGGAAUUCCCGGUGUAGCGGUGAAAUGCGUAGAUAUCGGGAAGAACACCAGUGGCGAAGGCGCUCUGCUGGGCCAUCACUGACGCUCAUGGACGAAAGCCAGGGGAGCGAAAGGGAUUAGAUACCCCUGUAGUCCUGGCCGUAAACGAUGAACACUAGGUGUCGGGGGAAUCGACCCCCUCGGUGUCGUAGCCAACGCGUUAAGUGUUCCGCCUGGGGAGUACGCACGCAAGUGUGAAACUCAAAGGAAUUGACGGGGGCCCGCACAAGCGGUGGAGUAUGUGGUUUAAUUCGAUGCAACGCGAAGAACCUUACCAGGGUUUGACAUCCUGCGAACCUCUUGGAAACAGGAGGGUGCCUUCGGGAACGCAGUGACAGGUGGUGCAUGGCUGUCGUCAGCUCGUGUCGUGAGAUGUUGGGUUAAGUCCCGCAACGAGCGCAACCCACGUCUUUAGUUGCCAGCAUUUAGUUGGGCACUCUAGAGAGACCGCCGGUGAUAAACCGGAGGAAGGUGUGGAUGACGUCAAGUCAUCAUGCCCCUUACACCCUGGGCUACACACGUACUACAAUGCUACGGACAAAGGGCAGCAAACUCGCGAGAGCUAGCAAAUCCCAUAAACCGUGGCUCAGUUCAGAUCGUAGGCUGCAACUCGCCUACGUGAAGUAGGAAUCGCUAGUAAUCGCAGGUCAGCAUACUGCGGUGAAUACGUUCCCGGGCCUUGUACACACCGCCCGU